AUGCUGAUUUCGGCAGCACAUACACUAAAAUUAGAAUGAUACAGAGAAGAUUAGCACAGCCCCUGCGCAAGGAUGACAUGGAAAUUUGUGAAGCAUUCCAUAUAACU
This is a small nuclear RNA of Macaca nemestrina (pig-tailed macaque), 107 nucleotides long. Lineage: Eukaryota; Metazoa; Chordata; Mammalia; Primates; Cercopithecidae. The record is from Ensembl.